RNAcentral lists this ribosomal RNA (92 nucleotides) under Legionella cherrii. Lineage: Bacteria; Pseudomonadati; Pseudomonadota; Gammaproteobacteria; Legionellales; Legionellaceae. The record is from RNAcentral.
UCCUGGCGACCAUAGCGGUUUGGAACCACCUGACUCCAUCUCGAACUCAGAAGUGAAACGAACCCGCGCCAAUGAUAGUGUGAGGUUUCCUC